AGAGUUUGAUCAUGGCUCAGGACGAACGCUGGCGGCGCGCCUAACACAUGCAAGUCGAACGGAGAUGAAAAAAGCUUGCUUUGAUCAUCUUAGUGGCGGACGGGUGAGUAACACGUGAGCAACCUGCCUUUCAGAGGGGGAUAACGUUUGGAAACGAACGCUAAUACCGCAUAAUGUAUACGGAUGGCAUCGUCUGUAUACCAAAGGAGCAAUCCGCUGAAAGAUGGGCUCGCGUCCGAUUAGCUAGAUGGUGAGGUAACGGCCCACCAUGGCAACGAUCGGUAGCCGGACUGAGAGGUUGACCGGCCACAUUGGGACUGAGACACGGCCCAGACUCCUACGGGAGGCAGCAGUGAGGGAUAUUGGGCAAUGGGGGCAACCCUGACCCAGCGACGCCGCGUGAGGGAAGACGGUCUUCGGAUUGUAAACCUCUGUCUUUGGGGACGAAAAAGGACGGUACCCAAGGAGGAAGCUCCGGCUAACUACGUGCCAGCAGCCGCGGUAAUACGGAGGAUCCGAGCGUUAUCCGGAUUUAUUGGGUUUAAAGGGAGCGUAGGCGGAUUAUUAAGUCAGUUGUGAAAGUUUGCGGCUCAACCGUAAAAUUGCAGUUGAUACUGGUAGUCUUGAGUGCAGCAGAGGUAGGCGGAAUUCGUGGUGUAGCGGUGAAAUGCUUAGAUAUCACGAAGAACUCCGAUUGCGAAGGCAGCUUACUGGACUGUAACUGACGCUGAUGCUCGAAAGUGUGGGUAUCAAACAGGAUUAGAUACCCUGGUAGUCCACACAGUAAACGAUGAAUACUCGCUGUUUGCGAUAUACAGCAAGCGGCCAAGCGAAAGCAUUAAGUAUUCCACCUGGGGAGUACGCCGGCAACGGUGAAACUCAAAGGAAUUGACGGGGGCCCGCACAAGCGGAGGAACAUGUGGUUUAAUUCGAUGAUACGCGAGGAACCUUACCCGGGCUUAAAUUGCAACUGACGGAUUUGGAAACAGAUCUUCCUUCGGGCAGUUGUGAAGGUGCUGCAUGGUUGUCGUCAGCUCGUGCCGUGAGGUGUCGGCUUAAGUGCCAUAACGAGCGCAACCCUUAUCUUUAGUUACUAACAGGUCAUGCUGAGGACUCUAGAGAGACUGCCGUCGUAAGAUGUGAGGAAGGUGGGGAUGACGUCAAAUCAGCACGGCCCUUACGUCCGGGGCUACACACGUGUUACAAUGGGGGGUACAGAAGGCAGCUACACAGCGAUGUGAUGCUAAUCCCAAAAGCCUCUCUCAGUUCGGAUUGGAGUCUGCAACCCGACUCCAUGAAGCUGGAUUCGCUAGUAAUCGCGCAUCAGCCACGGCGCGGUGAAUACGUUCCCGGGCCUUGCACACACCGCCCGU
This 1373-nucleotide ribosomal RNA is filed under the name uncultured bacterium. RNAcentral's name for it is "partial 16S ribosomal RNA". It matches the Rfam family "Bacterial small subunit ribosomal RNA". The record is from RNAcentral.